RNAcentral lists this long non-coding RNA (301 nucleotides) under Drosophila guanche. Lineage: Eukaryota; Metazoa; Arthropoda; Insecta; Diptera; Drosophilidae. The record is from RNAcentral.
GUACUCUUCUGCAGCAGCACAAAUCUGCAUAUGAAAAAUUAUUAUUGUAAUCCAUUUGAGAGGAAAGGCUGGACCGGACCGGCUUGGCUUGGUCUGCCACAAAAUUAUGCAGCAUUUUGUUUUUACUGCCAAACUGGCCACCCUGUACCGCCCCCCUAGCCGAAAGAAAGGCGUCAAGAGAUUUAUGCUUCAAGUUUUUGAAGAUUUCCGUGCCAGUCUGCCAGUCUGCCAGUCUGCCAGUUGGCCAGUCGCUGUUCUGAUUCCUUCUGGGGGUCUUGGAAAAUUUGUAGAACAUUUCGCU